This 647-nucleotide small RNA is filed under the name Pan troglodytes (chimpanzee). RNAcentral describes it as "retained intron". The record is from RNAcentral. Lineage: Eukaryota; Metazoa; Chordata; Mammalia; Primates; Hominidae.
GCGAUCCUCCCAAGUCAGCCUCCAAGAUAGCUGGGAUUACAGGUUUGCACCACCACUCCUAGCUAAUUUUUUAUUAACAUCUUUGUAGGGACAGGAUUUUGCCAUAUUGCCCAGGCUGGUCUCAAACUCCUGGGCUCAAGCAAUCCACUAUCCUCGGCCUCCCAAAGUACUGGGGUUACAGACAUGAGCCACCACGCCCGGCCCUUUUUAAAUCCAUCUUCCAUGAGCUAACACUCUCUUUCCCUUUCCAGAUUGACUGGGGCGACUUUGGGGUAGAGGCAGUGUCUGAGGGGACUGACUCUGGCAUCUCUGCUGAGGCUGCUGGAAUCGACUGGGGCAUCUUCCCGGAAUCAGAUUCAAAGGAUCCUGGAGGUGAUGGGAUAGACUGGGGAGACGAUGCUGUUGCUUUGCAGAUCACAGUGCUGGAAGCAGGAACCCAGGCUCCAGAAGGUGUUGCCAGGGGCCCAGAUGCCCUGACACUGCUUGAAUACACUGAGACCCGGAAUCAGUUCCUUGAUGAGCUCAUGGAGCUUGAGAUCUUCUUAGCCCAGAGAGCAGUGGAGUUGAGUGAGGAGGCAGAUGUCCUGUCUGUGAGCCAGUUCCAGCUGGCUCCAGCCAUCCUGCAGGGCCAGACCAAAGAGAAGAUG